CUCCCUGUGGCUCAGUCGGUAGAGCAUGGUGUUUGCAACGCCAGCAUGGUGUGUGCAAUGCCAGGGUUGUGGGUUCGAUUCCCACGGGGGGC
This is a non-coding RNA of Salmo salar (Atlantic salmon), 92 nucleotides long. The record is from Rfam. Lineage: Eukaryota; Metazoa; Chordata; Actinopteri; Salmoniformes; Salmonidae.